RNAcentral lists this transfer RNA (60 nucleotides) under human gut metagenome. It matches the Rfam family "tRNA", at positions 7 to 64 of the family's 71-position model. From Rfam's summary of the family: Transfer RNA (tRNA) molecules are approximately 80 nucleotides in length. The record is from RNAcentral.
UUAGCUCAGCGGAUAGAGCAACGGAUUCCGAUUCCGUAGGCCGGGGGUUCAAAUCCCUUA